Molecule: long non-coding RNA, 4343 nt
Organism: Zingiber officinale
Lineage: Eukaryota; Viridiplantae; Streptophyta; Magnoliopsida; Zingiberales; Zingiberaceae
Exons: 5
Source: RefSeq, a predicted model, not a curated record
ACUUGUUAACCCUAAUCAAUGUUUCGCGCCUUGGAUCGAAUCCUCGAAGAAAGGUCGUAAGAUCGAAGUGGGCGAUGAGAGGGCGAUUUUCAACGCGGGGAGCCCAAUCCGACGCUCAGAUCGCUCCACUUGAUCGAGUUCCCCAGUGAUUUCCCGCUGGUACUCAAGACUAAGUGGCAGUUGUUUGCUUUGCUUUGGAGGUAAACUUUUGAAAAUUGAUUAAGGCAACGGGCGUGGUACGAAUAUGUGAAGGCGCACGGAGUACGACCACACAAAACUCUGUCAAGUACCUUUCUACAUUGCUUCAACUGCUCACCAUUAAGCAAUUGCAGGAGGAUAAUUAUGCGGGGCAAGCAAAAGCAGAUGAGUAAAAAAAAUAUGCAAGCUUUUUUCUCUCCAACUCUCUCUCUCCCUCCUCAGAUAUCCACACUGUUACACUGCACCGGAGGAUUACCCUAGAUUUCCAUGAGCAGACAGGGUUGUCCCCAUUUGUAUUGCAUCGGAAUGUGAAUAGGGAGAAGGCAUAACACUAUUGUCAUUUAAGAGGGUGUCUGUGUAUGUAUGUGUCACCCUCCUUGACAAGGUCAAGGCAACAGUGCGGCCUUCUACCACUACUGUUUCUCUUAUUCUUCUCAAUGUUUAAUAGUUAAUGAUGGUGCGUGGACAUGGCACAGAGAUAUAUAGAGGAUGAUGUGCGACAUAAGGUAGCACUGUUUGGAGGGGCCUUGGAUGCUGUAAGCAGACAGGGGGAGACAAGGGGUUCUGCUGUCCACAUGUGCCCUUUCCUUCCUAGAGCAGGUUAGCUAUGGCCUGAGGUGGAAGAUGAAUUGAUUGAGAUAUUAUCAUUACCUCCGCAUCAACCUCCUGCAGAUUUCACAAUUGGUUAGUUAUCUACACAACUAAGUUUGAAGGGCUUUUCCAUAUAUGUGUGUGUGAUAAAAAGUGAGUCAAUACUUAGAAGUCUUUGAAAUCCGUGCUAUGACAUGCUUAUGCAUGAACGCAUGCAAUGCUCGGAAUUCAAAGCAUUGCCAUGGGGAUGGGCGUGGUUUCUUCUUCAACGCUGCUUCCUCAUUUGUCUGCUUAAAAUUCGACAGGAACAACACCACCAAAACCAGGGCGAUGUCAAUGUUUGUUUUAUGAUUCCGAUGGCCUCAUGCCCUCUAUAUCCCAUUUCCAUUUCCCCAGAACUUGACCUUUGCAUUUCCUUUUAGAUUUACCGUUCCUUUUAAAUUAAAUUAAAUAAGCAAGUCUAGAUAUGGAACAAUAUUCGAGACAUGCAUGCGUUUAUAUAUCUUUUUAAUAUUCAAUCCUCACUAGUGCUUGCCCUCCAUUUUAACGUAGAUUUGGGGCUCAAAUUACUAAUAUAUGCGAUCUGCACCUUUUAGUUCCGUGGUUCUAGGGUUUAAAAUAUUUCCUAUCAUUUAGUAGAAUGCAAAAGUGUAGAAAAUUGUUUGUUGGAAGUAAUUGGCAAUGGUAAUUUGAUGCCUUAGUUUUAAGACAAUAAAUUGAGUCAGCUAUUUUUUUGUUCAGGAUACAGUGUAGCAUUCAAUAUUUACUAUUAGAACUUGAUUUAUGAGGAAUAGCAUUUGACAGCACCAAGUACAUCUUAUUAAUUGCUUUGAUGUUAAUUCUUAGCCUUUCUACUUAUAGUCACUACUAUCUAACCAAUUAUGCUUGGAAAUUUAUUAAUGAAGCAUUUGCGCUUGCUUAUAUUGUCAAAAUCAUAAUCUGAUUAGACACAAAAUUCAGGGCAUCUGCUAUAGCUAACACUGUUGCGCAGUUACCUUAUUUGUUGUAGUAAAUUUUGUCUAAACUAGUGCUUGCAAUAGGUUCUUUUAUUUGUCGCAUAAUCCAUGUAAUUUUUUUUUACAUGUAUUUGCGAUGAUUAUGCUGUAGCUAACUGUUGUAUUUUUUAUUCUAAAAAAAAAUUGUUCUCGAUAUCAAUUAGAUUGUCACAGAUGCAAUCUUAUAAUCCUUAUGUAUGAAUCUAAAGUGGAAGAACUUGCUCUCAAGUAAUGGUACAACGGCAGGAUAUUUUUUUUUUUAAUUUUAAGGCAUCUAAAUUAAUAAAUGAAUUUUUUUUAAUAGGCGGUUGAUCUAAAAACUCUGGAUUGAUAGGUCAUCCUUUACGAGCACUUCUUGAUUUAUCCUGGUGGUCGGUGAAAAAUUUUCUUAAAACCAGACUGGUCACCUAGGAUUAAUCGGUAUAAAAUGAAUAUUUGGUGCCAACUAAAAAAAUAAAAGACCUUAUAAUAAUUUGUUUGAUUGAAUCAAAAGGUAGAUUAUCAAUCUUCAAAAAUCAAUUUGGAAACUUGAAUUAUAAAAAAAAAAUUUACAAACAUGGCGACGCGAGGAUGGGACAAGAUUUUUAGUCUUGCUUUGCCUCACCUCGUUUUAUAAUAUAUUUUAUUGCCCUAUUUUGAACUGGAAUCACAAAACAAGCGGAAUUAUGCAAGAAAAAGAAAGAAAAACUCCUCCAAUAACAUGCUUCACUCACCCUGUUUUACCUCACCUGCCUCUGAGGAUGGGAAUUUUCUAAUUUUUUAUUGUCCAUUCUUUAAUUCUAGAUAAAUAAUUUGAAUGUUGAAAAGAAAAAUAAAAUAGAUUAUCAUUGAUUUUUUACACCAUUAAGUAAUAUUUAUCUUUUACACAGAACAUAUUUGAUCUCUCAGAAUAAAAAAAAUAUGUAUUAUGCAAAAUAAUUAAGAGAAGAGCAACAGGAAACAAUGCAGUGUUUCUGUAACCAAACAAGCAACACCCAUGCCCACCCCAUCCUCAACUCAAGAUAUUAUUAAAAAUAUAUUCGGACAACCCGAUAAGUGAAUCAGAUGGAGGGCUGUCUAUCUCCAGAUUAAUUAUAUUCUUAAUAAAAAUUGCUAUGACAUAGAAUCCACUUAAACAACCUCAUAAUUAGGAGAUUACUUAGUGCCAUGGUUAAAUUGUUAACCCAAUUGUGAUUUACUUUGUCUCAACUAAUUUACAUUAUAUAUGCGUGUAAAGAUUCUUUUUUUUUUAAAUCAAAUUUGUUGAAUUAUGUAUAUUUAGUCUAGUUUGGAAGUGACUUGUUACAAAGUAGGAUAAGAUUGUGUAUAAUAGAUCUAUCCUUGGGAUUCCGUAUUGGUAGAAGUUUCGUGUACUCGACUGCCUUUUUUAUAUAUAUUUAGUCGGGUCCCGAUAAAUCUAAUUUCAAAUUAUGGUGCAUGUCCAUGAGAUGAUCAUCUUUUUUACCAUGAACUCAUAACACCCAGAGAGCUUUGCUCAAGCUUCACAAAGUUCUUUCCUCUGCUAUAUUAGAUAACAGAUACACAUCUGAAAGCCAGACAAGAAGAAUAAUUUAUAUGUAUAUCUCUAGGUUUUAGCGUGCAGUAGUGCUGCAAGGAACAAAGAGACAAAAAGAAAGCAUGAAGGGUGUGUCAGAUCAAUUUUAAUUAUAGACCUAGUAGCUUAACCUCACUCUGUGCUGCUGCUUCUCCUCCUGCUGCUGCACCUGCACUGACUGCACCCCACAACACACUGAGCCAUGGAUGAAUGGAUUCAUUGUGGUCUGAUAUGACUUGUCGAAAAGCCUUCUUUUGACUACUGCUCCGUCUCCCCAACAAUCUCAGACACAUUUAAGAGCCCGUCUCAUAAUUGUUAUUUGGUCGCCAUAAAAUAUAUGCUUGAGUUGAUACAGAUUCUUUCUCUCUACUAGUCCUUAAAGCAAGCUAAUCAUUUGAGUUGAAUAUUUCCUUGUAUAUGUUCCAUCCAUUAACUGCCACUAAAAAAAUGGAAAAGUAAGCAAAGCACAAAAGCAUCCGGAAAGAAAAGCUGGGAUUGGUGCAGGGAAAAGGCAUAUGCAUGCAGUUAACUGAGGAUUAUUAUGAUUCUACUUAUCAGACUGAGGAUUUCGCUAUAGUGCAGGCUUCAUCUUGUGUGUGUUAUCAAACUGCAUGCUGCAGCAGCUGCAUGACUCAUCACUUCAACUGGAGGAAUGGGAAUAAAGGGUGGGAGGAAGGAAGGAAUGAUGCAUUCUGCAGCAGCUUCUAAAGCACACCAAGAACAGCAAAAAAGGUUGGGGAUUCUUUGUCUGGGUGAGUCUGAGAAAAAGCUGGAAAUUUAAAAGCAAAAGAAGUGCAUUUGAUUAAUUAGUAGAGAUAUUUUUUAAAAAAAAGUUGUUUUUUAAUAGUUUUUCCAAGACCUUUUCUAUUCUUAUACAUUUUAUAUUAUAUAUUGAUUUUUAUUGAAGGUGAGUUUGUCACAACGGUAAAAUUACUAUGGUAUAAUUAGAAGGUAGUAGAAAAAAGUCUCUUGCAAUACUGUUUGUAAUAGAUCUAGUGUGAUUCAAUCAUUUUUUAGGAUUCUAU